Melanotaenia boesemani (Boeseman's rainbowfish) is the source of this 1389-nucleotide long non-coding RNA. RefSeq lists it as uncharacterized. The record is from RefSeq and is a predicted model, not a curated record. NCBI's taxonomy places the organism in Eukaryota, Metazoa, Chordata, Actinopteri, Atheriniformes, Melanotaeniidae. The transcript is spliced from 3 exons.
GAAGGAAGAGGAGUUGGACGGAACUAACAUCCGUGCAUUUUCAGAUUGGAACCUCUCGGUUCAUAUCCUGGACUCGUCCAAAGCUGUUUCAGGUGAUCACUGACACUGGAUGUCGAAAGUCUGACGAAGACUAAAAUUGGACCACUCUUUUCUCUCAGUUCAGCCACUAAAGAAGCAAUAUGGAUUCUUCAAAAAAGAAACAUAAGAGGAAAACGAAAGUGGGACUUCAGCGCCCUCAGGAGGACAAGGAGGCUUUGCCAACAACAAUGGACACAAAGUGACCUUAUAGCUGUGACCUGUGUGGGAAGAGUUUUUGUUACAAAAAUAACCUUUCUUCACACAUGCGUGUGCACACUGGUGAAAAACCAUACAGGUGUGAGGAAUGUGGGGUAGCCUUUGCUCAAAAAUAUGUUUUAAAAGCUCACCUGCGCGUUCACACUGGAGAAAAACCGUACAGCUGCGAUGAAUGUGGGGCAACUUUCAGUCAGAGAAGUGCCCUAAAAAGGCAUCAACUCUUUCACCGUGGAGUUAAAUCUUACAUUUGUGAUCAGUGUGGGAGGGCUUUUAUCUUGUCAAGUGAAUUACUGGUUCAUAAAACCAUUCAUUCUGGACUUAAACCGUACAAGUGUGAGCAGUGUGGGAAAGCUUAUACUGCAAAGAGGAACUUCAUGUAUCAUCAACACACCCAUUCCGGGCUCGAUAAGCUGCUCCGCUGUGAUUUUUGCGACAAAACCUUCAGCUAUCCAGAGACCCUCAGUAGACACAGACGAAGGCACACAGGAGAGAAUUUGUAUUGUUGUGAUGAGUGUGGUAGAAGAUUUCCAGUACACUCAUCCCUUCAAAACCACAAACUUUCCCACACAAAGGAAAGAACACAUUGCUGUGAUCUAUGUGGAAAAGCCUUCAAGAGUAAGGGUGCUCUACAAGCCCACAAGAAAAGACACACUGCAGUUAAACCACAUGAUCAGUGUUUGUAAAGUGGAUUUACAAGUGGACCGUUCAGCCCUCAAUUAGCGAGUCUGCAAUGCUCCACACAUGAAUUUUGCAGCUGGUGCAAUGGCAAAAUGGAGAAAAAAAGCCUUCAAAUAUGAGUUCUGCAUGUUUCCUGAAAAUCAUGUUUACGCAGAUAAAACAAAACUAUCAAAUCUGAAUGCUGACGUUUGAUUUGAUGUAGUCAGUUAGCAGCUUCAUUCAUUUGUUUGAUUGGAAAUGUCAAAUGGAAAUGAGGUUGAAAGACUUGUGGAAUAAUUUAAAAGUAUUUGAAGUAUAAUGUGGCUCCUGUCAUUGUAAUAGUUGCUGAAUUUAUGAUGUGUUGGGGUCAGUGGAAAAAAAAACAGCCAGCUGGUGCUGCACCAAAAUUUAAACAGUGGCUGUUAAAGAAAAAGAAAU